Molecule: ribosomal RNA, 301 nt
Filed under: uncultured bacterium
Lineage: Bacteria
Description: partial 16S ribosomal RNA
Rfam family: Bacterial small subunit ribosomal RNA
Source: RNAcentral
CAGUCGCCACGGUAAAACGUAGGGUGCAAGCGUUAAUCGGAAUUACUGGGCGUAAAGCGUGCGCAGGCGGUUUGUUAAGACAGAUGUGAAAUCCCCGGGCUCAACCUGGGAACUGCAUUUGUGACUGGCAAGCUAGAGUGUGGCAGAGGGGGGUGGAAUUCCGCGUGUAGCAGUGAAAUGCGUAGAUAUGCGGAGGAACACCGAUGGCGAAGGCAGCCCCCUGGGCCAACACUGACGCUCAUGCGCGAAAGCGUGGGGAGCAAGCAGGAUUAGAUACCCCUGUAGUCCCUGUCUCUUAUAC